AGCGCUAGUAGUAUAAACGAACUUUUGAAAGGGACAUUUUUUUGGUUCCGUAGGCAAAUGGCAAAAAACGGAACCCUUAUGGGUCUGUCAUGUCUGUCUCUGUCUGUCCGUCCGUAUGUCACAGCCACUUUUUUCCGAAACUAUAAGAACUAUACUGUUGAAACUUGGUAAGUAGAUGUAUUCUGUGAACCGCAUUAAGAUUUUCACACAAAAAUAGAAAAAAUAAUAAAAAAUUUUAGGGGUUCCCCAUACUUAGAACUGAAACUCAAAAAUCUUUUUUUCAUCAAACCCAUACGUGUGGGGUAUCUAUGGAUAGGUGUUCAAAAAUGAUAUUGAGGUUUCUAAUAUAUUUUUUUUUUCUAAACUGAAUAGUUUGCGCGAGAGACACUUCCAAAAUG
Cydia splendana is the source of this 398-nucleotide long non-coding RNA. RefSeq lists it as uncharacterized. The transcript has 2 exons. Lineage: Eukaryota; Metazoa; Arthropoda; Insecta; Lepidoptera; Tortricidae. The record is from RefSeq and is a predicted model, not a curated record.